Molecule: ribosomal RNA, 330 nt
Filed under: uncultured bacterium
Lineage: Bacteria
Description: bacterial SSU rRNA
Rfam family: Bacterial small subunit ribosomal RNA
Source: RNAcentral
UCCGUAGGCGGUGCGGCAAGUCGGAAGUGAAAUCUCUGGGCUUAACUCAGAGGCUGCUUCCGAAACUGCCGUGCUCGAGUGUGAGAGAGGCGAGUGGAAUUACGGGUGUAGCGGUGAAAUGCGUAGAUAUCCGUAGGAACAUCCGAGGCGAAAGCGGCUCGCUGGAUCACAACUGACGCUGAGGGACGAAAGCUAGGGGAGCAAACAGGAUUAGAUACCCUGGUAGUCCUAGCCCUAAAUCAUCAGGACUUGGGGUUUGCCCUGUACGGGGCAAGUCCCGGAGCUAACGCGUUAAGUCCUGCGCCUGGGGAGUACGGUCGCAAGGCUGAA